RNAcentral lists this ribosomal RNA (253 nucleotides) under uncultured bacterium. RNAcentral's name for it is "partial 16S ribosomal RNA". It matches the Rfam family "Bacterial small subunit ribosomal RNA", at positions 524 to 776 of the family's 1533-position model. The record is from RNAcentral.
UACGUAGGGGGCGAGCGUUGUCCGGAAUCAUUGGGCGUAAAGCGCGUGUAGGCGGCUUGAUCAGUCCGGUGUGAAAACUUGGGGCUCAACCCCAAGCCUGCACUGGAUACUGUCAAGCUUGAGUCCGGGAGGGGAGAGCGGAAUUCCUAGUGUAGCGGUGAAAUGCGCAGAUAUCAGGAAGAACACCUAUGGCGAAGGCAGCUCUCUGGGACGGUACUGACGCUGAGACGCGAAAGCGUGGGGAGCGAACAGG